CCCUUAGAUGUUCUGGGCUGCACGCGCGCUACACUGACACACUCAGCGAGUCUCCUGGCCCGAGAGGGUUGGGUAAUCAUGUGAGCGUGUGUCGUGAUGGGGAUAGAAUAUUGUAAUUAUUGCUCUUCAACGAGGAAUUCCUAGUAAACGCAAGUCAUCAACUUGCAUUGAUUACGUCCCUGCCCUUUGUACACACCGCCCGUCGCACCUACCGAUUGAAUGGUCCGGUGAAGCCUCCGGAUUGGCGCGCACCUCGGUGCCGCCGAGAAGUUGGCUAAACCUUACCAUUUAGAGGAAGGUGAAGUCGUAACA
RNAcentral lists this ribosomal RNA (312 nucleotides) under uncultured eukaryote. RNAcentral's name for it is "partial 18S ribosomal RNA". It matches the Rfam family "Eukaryotic small subunit ribosomal RNA", at positions 1470 to 1796 of the family's 1831-position model. The record is from RNAcentral.